GAUGAACGCUGGCGGCGUGCCUAUUACAUGCAAGUCGAGCGAAUGGAUUAAGAGCUUGCUCUUAUGAAGUUAGCGGCGGACGGGUGAGUAACACGUGGGUAACCUGCCCAUAAGACUAGGAUAACUCCGGGAAACCGGGGCUAAUACCGGAUAACAUUUUGAACCGCAUGGUUCGAAAUUGAAAGGCGGCUUCGGCUGUCACUUAUGGAUGGACCCGCGUCGCAUUAGCUAGUUGGUGAGGUAACGGCUCACCAAGGCAACGAUGCGUAGCCGACCUGAGAGGGUGAUCGGCCACACUGGGACUGAGACACGGCCCAGACUCCUACGGGAGGCAGCAGUAGGGAAUCUUCCGCAAUGGACGAAAGUCUGACGGAGCAACGCCGCGUGAGUGAUGAAGGCUUUCGGGUCGUAAAACUCUGUUGUUAGGGAAGAACAAGUGCUAGUUGAAUAAGCUGGCACCUUGACGGUACCUAACCAGAAAGCCACGGCUAGCUACGUGCCAGCAGCCGCAGUAA
This 515-nucleotide ribosomal RNA is filed under the name uncultured bacterium. Its description in RNAcentral is "partial 16S ribosomal RNA". It matches the Rfam family "Bacterial small subunit ribosomal RNA", at positions 28 to 523 of the family's 1533-position model. The record is from RNAcentral.